RNAcentral lists this ribosomal RNA (253 nucleotides) under uncultured bacterium. Its description in RNAcentral is "partial 16S ribosomal RNA". It matches the Rfam family "Bacterial small subunit ribosomal RNA", at positions 524 to 776 of the family's 1533-position model. The record is from RNAcentral.
UACGGGGGGGGCAAGCGUUGCUCGGAAUUACUGGGCGUAAAGGGCGCGUAGGCGGGAUGGCAAGUCGGUCGUGAAAUCCUUCGGCUCAACCGAAGAACGUCGAUCGAUACUGCUGUUCUUGAGGGUUGCAGAGGAGACUGGAAUUCCCGGUGUAGCGGUGAAAUGUGUAGAGAUCGGGAGGAACACCGGUGGCGAAGGCGGUUCUCUGGGACGGUACUGACGCUGAGACGCGAAAGCGUGGGGAGCGAACAGG